RNAcentral lists this ribosomal RNA (433 nucleotides) under uncultured bacterium. RNAcentral's name for it is "partial 16S ribosomal RNA". It matches the Rfam family "Bacterial small subunit ribosomal RNA", at positions 29 to 507 of the family's 1533-position model. The record is from RNAcentral.
AACGAACGCUGGCGGCAUGCCUAACACAUGCAAGUCGAACGAGACCUUCGGGUCUAGUGGCGCACGGGUGCGUAACGCGUGGGAACCUGCCCUUAGGUUCGGAAUAACUCCCCGAAAGGGGUGCUAAUACCGGAUAAUGUCUUCGGACCAAAGAUUUAUCGCCUUUGGAUGGGCCCGCGUUGGAUUAGCUAGUUGGUAGGGUAAAAGCCUACCAAGGCGACGAUCCAUAGCUGGUCUGAGGGGAUGAUCAGCCACACUGGGAGUGAGACACGGCCCAGACUCCUACGGGAGGCAGCAGUGGGGAAUAUUGGACAAUGGGCGAAAGCCUGAUCCAGCAAUGCCGCGUGAGUGAUGAAGGCCUUAGGAUUGUAAAGCUCUGUUACCCGGGAUGAUAAUGACAGUACCAGGAGAAUAAGCUCCGGCUAACUCCGUG